Molecule: transfer-messenger RNA, 345 nt
Filed under: Oscillospiraceae bacterium
Lineage: Bacteria; Bacillati; Bacillota; Clostridia; Eubacteriales; Oscillospiraceae
Also listed under: 1 other name
Rfam family: transfer-messenger RNA
About the family: Bacterial tmRNA, also known as 10Sa RNA or SsrA, is named for its dual tRNA and mRNA-like properties. Its role is to liberate the mRNA from a stalled ribosome. To accomplish this part of the tmRNA is used as a reading frame that ends in a translation stop signal.
Source: RNAcentral
GGGAGUGUAAAGGUUUCGACAGGGAUUUAGAAGUAUAGGAAGCGAGCAGCGGUGCGGAACCGCUUUAAAAUCCGCAUAAAAAAUUAACUAACAACAAUAAAGUUGCUUUAGCUGCCUAAUUAGGCGGCUCGUCGAACCUUAGAGUACCACGGCUAAGGCAAGGCGUCAAUUAGUGGUGCACAUGAACAGCGGGUUGUUCCCCCUGCUGUCACGAAGUAGGAACUACCAAGCAAAACAGUCGGUCGCUUGACGGUUUUGUAAGGGAAUUUAAAUAGGCGACUGCGCUCGGAGAGGCCUGUAUGGAAAAAUUUUUGGACAGGAGUUCGAUUCUCCUCACUUCCACCA